GCUCAAUUGGCCAAGUGGCAAGGCGUCGCACUCGUAGCUUCUAUGGUAUGCGAAGAUCUCCAGUUCGAUCCUGGAAUUGAGCC
Molecule: non-coding RNA, 83 nt
Organism: Alternaria alternata
Lineage: Eukaryota; Fungi; Ascomycota; Dothideomycetes; Pleosporales; Pleosporaceae
Source: the annotation of a RefSeq genome assembly